AUUGAACGCUGGCGGCAGGCCUAACACAUGCAAGUCGAGCGGUAACACAAGGGAGCUUGCUCCUGAGGUGACGAGCGGCGGACGGGUGAGUAAUGCCUAGGUAUCUGCCCAGUCGAGGGGGAUAACAGUUGGAAACGACUGCUAAUACCGCAUACGCCUACGGGGAAAGGAGGGACCUUCGGGCCUUCCGCGAUUGGAUGAACCUAGGUGGGAUUAGCUAGUUGGUGAGGUAAUGGCUCACCAAGGCGACGAUCCCUAGCUGGUCUGAGAGGAUGAUCAGCCACACUGGAACUGAGCACGGUCCAGACUCCUACGGAGCAGCAGUGGGAAUAUUGCACAAUGGGCAAAGCCUGAUGCAGCCAUGCCGCGUGUGUGAAGAAGGCCUUGGGUUGUAAA
RNAcentral lists this ribosomal RNA (396 nucleotides) under uncultured bacterium. Its description in RNAcentral is "bacterial SSU rRNA". It matches the Rfam family "Bacterial small subunit ribosomal RNA", at positions 30 to 429 of the family's 1533-position model. The record is from RNAcentral.